This 838-nucleotide ribosomal RNA is filed under the name uncultured Actinomycetes bacterium. Its description in RNAcentral is "bacterial SSU rRNA". It matches the Rfam family "Bacterial small subunit ribosomal RNA", at positions 50 to 903 of the family's 1533-position model. Lineage: Bacteria; Bacillati; Actinomycetota; Actinomycetes. The record is from RNAcentral.
UACACAUGCAAGUCGAGCGAUGAAACACCUUCGGGUGUGAAUUAGCGGCGAACGGGUGAGGAACACGUGAAGAAUCUGCCUUCAACUCUGGGAUAACUCCGGGAAACCGGGGCUAAUACCGGAUAUGAGCCUCGAUCGCAUGAUUGGGGCUGGAAAGUUUUUCGGUUGAAGAUGACUUCGCGGCCUAUCAGCUUGUUGGUGAGGUAAUGGCUCACCAAGGCGACGACGGGUAGCCGGCCUGAGAGGGCGACCGGCCACACUGGGACUGAGACACGGCCCAGACUCCUACGGGAGGCAGCAGUGGGGAAUAUUGGGCAAUGGAGGAAACUCUGACCCAGCGACGCCGCGUGAGGGAUGAAGGCCUUCGGGUUGUAAACCUCUUUCAGUAGGGAAGAAGCGAAAGUGACGGUACCUACAGAAGAAGCACCGGCUAACUAUGUGCCAGCAGCCGCGGUAAUACAUAGGGUGCAAGCGUUGUCCGGAAUUAUUGGGCGUAAAGAGCUCGUAGGUGGUUCGAUACGUCGGAUGUGAAAAUCAGGGGCUCAACCCCUGACUUGCAGCCGAUACGGGCAAGCUAGAGUUUGGUAGGGGAGACUGGAAUUCCUGGUGUAGCGGUGGAAUGCGCAGAUAUCAGGAGGAACACCGAUGGCGAAUGCAGGUCUCUGGGCCAAUACUGACACUGAGGAGCGAAAGCGUGGGGAGCGAACAGGAUUAGAUACCCUGGUAGUCCACGCCGUAUACGGUGGGCGCUAGUUGUGCGAACCUUCCACGGUUUGUGCGACGCAGCUAACGCAUUAAGCGCCCCGCCUGGGGAGUACGAUCGCAAGAUUAAAACUCA